Molecule: transfer RNA, 63 nt
Filed under: Auritibicen japonicus
Lineage: Eukaryota; Metazoa; Arthropoda; Insecta; Hemiptera; Cicadidae
Description: tRNA-Arg
Source: RNAcentral
AAGUAAUGAAGUAAUAAUUUACAUUUAGUUUCGACCUAAAAAAAGAAUAAUAUUCCUUACUUG